AGAGAGAGACAUGCGCGCAUAUCAAUAAGCGGAGGAAAAGAAACUAACAAGGAUUCCCCUAGUAACGGCGAGUGAAGCGGGAAGAGCUCAAAUUUGAAAUCUUAAAGGGUUUCCCUUUACGAAUUGUAGUUUAAAGAAGUGUUUUCUGUUGGAGUUUUGGUAAAAGUUCUUUGGAAUAGGACAUCAUAGAGGGUGAGAAUCCCGUAUUUGACCAUUAUUUCCAGCUUUGUGAUACACUUUCAAAGAGUCGGAUUGUUUGGGAAUGCAGUCCAAAAUGGGUGGUAAAUUUCAUCUAAAGCUAAAUAUUGGCGAGAGACUGAUAGCGAACAAGUACCGUGAGGGAAAGAUGAAAAGAACUUUGAAAAGAGAGUUAAACAGUACGUGAAACUUGUCAAAAGGGAGGCGUUUGACACCAGUGUUGUUUUCUCGAAAAUCAAUCAAAAAAGGCAGGAUUUUGUGUUGUAUUGACUUUAUCAGCUUUCUGCACUCUUUUCUUGUCUUUUUUAAUGCACUUUUCGUUUAACAAGUCAACAUCAAUUUCUUUUGUUGUAAAAGGGUCAUUGGAAGGUGGCUUUCUUUUCGGAGAAAGUGUUUAUAGCCUUUGGCCUCUGCAAUCGGAGAGAUUGAGGUCUGCAGCGUAGAUCCUUCGGGGUUAGAUACAUUUGUGCUAAGUUAUAGCCUUUCAUAGACAACUUGUUGACUAUGAUCAGUCAUGUAGCUUACUCGCUUAUGCUAUUUUACCUACGCUUAGGAUGUUGAUGUGAUACUGCGAGC
This 774-nucleotide ribosomal RNA is filed under the name uncultured Neocallimastigales. RNAcentral's name for it is "partial large subunit ribosomal RNA". It matches the Rfam family "Eukaryotic large subunit ribosomal RNA", at positions 23 to 645 of the family's 3401-position model. Lineage: Eukaryota; Fungi; Neocallimastigomycota; Neocallimastigomycetes; Neocallimastigales. The record is from RNAcentral.